GAUGAACGCUGGCGGCGUGCCUAAUACAUGCAAGUCGAGCGAACGGACGAGAAGCUUGCUUCUCUGAUGUUAGCGGCGGACGGGUGAGUAACACGUGGAUAACCUACCUAUAAGACUGGGAUAACUUCGGGAAACCGGAGCUAAUACCGGAUAAUAUUUUGAACCGCAUGGUUCAAAAGUGAAAGACGGUCUUGCUGUCACUUAUAGAUGGAUCCGCGCUGCAUUAGCUAGUUGGUAAGGUAACGGCUUACCAAGGCAACGAUGCAUAGCCGACCUGAGAGGGUGAUCAGCCACACUGGAACUGAGACACGGUCCAGACUCCUACGGGAGGCAGCAGUAGGGAAUCUUCCGCAAUGGGCGCAAGCCUGACGGAGCAACGCCGCGUGAGUGAUGAAGGUCUUCGGAUCGUAAAACUCUGUUAUUAGGGAAGAACAUAUGUGUAAGUAACUGUGCACAUCUUGACGGUACCUAAUCAGAAAGCCACGGCUAACUACGUG
This 497-nucleotide ribosomal RNA is filed under the name uncultured bacterium. RNAcentral's name for it is "partial 16S ribosomal RNA". It matches the Rfam family "Bacterial small subunit ribosomal RNA", at positions 28 to 507 of the family's 1533-position model. The record is from RNAcentral.